This 550-nucleotide ribosomal RNA is filed under the name uncultured bacterium. Its description in RNAcentral is "bacterial SSU rRNA". It matches the Rfam family "Bacterial small subunit ribosomal RNA", at positions 953 to 1503 of the family's 1533-position model. The record is from RNAcentral.
GAAGCAACGCGAAGAACCUUACCAGCCCUUGACAUGGCAGGACGAUUUCCGGAGACGGAUCUCUUCACUUCGGUGACCUGCACACAGGUGCUGCAUGGCUGUCGUCAGCUCGUGUCGUGAGAUGUUGGGUUAAGUCCCGCAACGAGCGCAACCCUCGCCCUUAGUUGCCAUCAUUUAGUUGGGCACUCUAGGGGGACUGCCGGUGAUAAGCCGGAGGAAGGUGGGGAUGACGUCAAGUCUUCAUGGCCCUUACGGGCUGGGCUACACACGUGCUACAAUGGCGGUGACAGAGGGUUGCUACACAGCGAUGUGAUGCUAAUCCCUAAAAGCCGUCUCAGUUCGGAUUGCACUCUGCAACUCGGGUGCAUGAAGUCGGAAUUGCUAGUAAUCGCAGAUCAGCGCGCUGCGGUGAAUACGUUCCCGGGCCUUGUACACACCGCCCGUCACACCAUGGGAGUUGGUUCUACCCGAAGCCGGUGCGCUAACCGCAAGGAAGCAGCCGACCACGGUAGGGUCAGCGACUGGGGUGAAGUCGUAACAAGGUAACCGU